This 474-nucleotide ribosomal RNA is filed under the name uncultured organism. Its description in RNAcentral is "partial 16S ribosomal RNA". It matches the Rfam family "Bacterial small subunit ribosomal RNA", at positions 334 to 799 of the family's 1533-position model. The record is from RNAcentral.
CACUCCUGCGGGAGGCAGCAGUGGGGAAUUUUGGACAAUGGGCGAAAGCCUGAUCCAGCCAUGCCGCGUGCAGGAUGAAGGCCUUCGGGUUGUAAACUGCUUUUGUACGGAACGAAACGGCCUUUUCUAAUAAAGAGGGCUAAUGACGGUACCGUAAGAAUAAGCACCGGCUAACUACGUGCCAGCAGCCGCGGUAAUACGUAGGGUGCAAGCGUUAAUCGGAAUUACUGGGCGUAAAGCGUGCGCAGGCGGUUAUGUAAGACAGUUGUGAAAUCCCCGGGCUCAACCUGGGAACUGCAUCUGUGACUGCAUAGCUAGAGUACGGUAGAGGGGGAUGGAAUUCCGCGUGUAGCAGUGAAAUGCGUAGAUAUGCGGAGGAACACCGAUGGCGAAGGCAAUCCCCUGGACCUGUACUGACGCUCAUGCACGAAAGCGUGGGGAGCAAACAGGAUUAGAUACCCCUGUAGUCCCAUG